AACGCUGGCGGCGUGCUUAACACAUGCAAUUCGAACGAUGAAGCCGCUUCGGUGGUGGAUUAGUGGCGAACGGGUGAUUAACACUUGGGCAAUCUGCCCUGCACUCUGGGACAAGCCCUGGAAACGGGGUCUAAUACCGGAUAUGACCUGGUGAGGCAUCUCAUCGGGUGGAAAGCUCCGGCGGUGCAGGAUGAGCCCGCGGCCUAUCAGCUUGUUGGUGGGGUGAUGGCCUACCAAGGCGACAACGGGUAGCCGGCCUGAGAGGGCGACCGGCCACACUGGGACUGAAACACGGCCCAAACUCCUACGGGAGGCAGCAGUGGGGAAUAUUGCACAAUGGGCGAAAGCCUGAUGCAGCGACGCCGCUUGAGGGAUGACGGCCUUCGGGUUGUAAACCUCUUUCAGCAGGGAAGAAGCGCAAUUGACGGUACCUGCAGAAGAAGCGCCGGCUAACUACGUGCCAGCAGCCGCGGUAAUACUUAGGGCGCAAGCGUUGUCCGGAAUUAUUGGGCGUAAAGAGCUCGUAGGCGGCUUGUCCCGUCGGAUGUGAAAGCCCGGGGCUUAACCCCGGGUCUGCAUUCGAUACGGGCAGGCUAGAGUUCGGUAGGGGAGAUCGGAAUUCCUGGUUUUACCGGUGAAAUGCCCANAUAUCANGAAGAACACCGGUUGCCAAAGCNGAUCUCUUGGCCNAUACUGACCCUNAAGAACCAAAACCNUUNGGGAACCAACAGGAUUAGAUACCCUGGUANUCNANGCCGUAAANGUUGGAAAUANGUGUGGGGANAUUCAACGUUGUCCGUGCCGCAGCUAACGCAUUAAGUUCCCCGCCUGGGGAGUACGGCCGCAAGGCUAAAACUCAAAGGAAUUGACGGGGGCCCGCACAAGCGGCGGAGCAUGUGGCUUAAUUUGACGCAAAGCGAAGAACCUUACCAAGGCUUGACAUACAUCGGAAACAUCCAGAGAUGGGUGCCCCCUUGUGGUCGGUGUACAGGUGGUGCAUGGCUGUUGUCAGCUUGUGUUGUGAGAUGUUGGGUUAAGUCCCGCAACGAGCGCAACCCUUGUCCUGUGUUGCCAGCAUGCCCUUCGGGGUGAUGGGGAAUCACAGGAGACUGCCGGGGUCAAAUCGGAGGAAGGUGGGGACGAAGUCAAGUCAUCAUGCCCCUUAUGUUUUGGGCUGCACACGUGCUACAAUGGCCGGUACAAUGAGCUGCGAUGCCGUGAGGUGGAGCGAAUUUCAAAAAGCCGGUUUCAGUUCGGAUUGGGGUUUGCAAAUUGACCCCAUGAAGUCGGAGUUGCUAGUAAUUGCAGAUCAGCAUUGCUGCGGUGAAUACGUUCCCGGGCCUUGUACACACCGCCCGUCAAGUCACGAAAGUCGGUAACACCCGAAGCCGGUGGCCCAACCCCUUGUGGGAGGGAGUUGUCGAAGGUGGGACUGGCGAUUG
RNAcentral lists this ribosomal RNA (1442 nucleotides) under Streptomyces sp. B66. RNAcentral describes it as "bacterial SSU rRNA". It matches the Rfam family "Bacterial small subunit ribosomal RNA". Lineage: Bacteria; Bacillati; Actinomycetota; Actinomycetes; Kitasatosporales; Streptomycetaceae. The record is from RNAcentral.